AGCCGGCUCAUAUUCUUUAUGGGUCGACUCACCAAUACGAUGAAUUUCAUAGCUUUCUGUCUAUCUUCUAAGACUGUUCUAGGGUGGACUCACGAUCUGUUGGAGUCGACUCAUAAAAGUAAAUCAGUGAGUGAUAGUAUGUAAGGGUUGACUCAUUGCAAACUACGGGUCGACUCUUGAGAUAGCUUAGAACGAAAUUCUCUGUAUUGGCUUGUGAGCUUCCAAGGAUUGCUUCUAGGCCUUUUGGAGUUAUAUUUCUUGGUCUAGAGCUUCAGAUAAAGGAUCUUUUUCUUCUUGACCAUCA
Molecule: long non-coding RNA, 304 nt
Filed under: Phoenix dactylifera (date palm)
Lineage: Eukaryota; Viridiplantae; Streptophyta; Magnoliopsida; Arecales; Arecaceae
Description: long non-coding RNA (PDAC_LNC007210)
Source: RNAcentral